UACGUAGGGUGCAAGCGUUGUCCGGAAUUAUUGGGCGUAAAGGGCGCGUAGGCGGUUUCUUAAGUUUGGAGUGACAGUGGGUGGCUUAACUACCCAAGGCCUCUGAAAACUGGGGAACUUGAGGACCAGAGAGGGACAUAGAAUUCCGGGUGGAGUGGUGAAAUGCGUAGAUAUCCGGAGGAAUACCAAAGGCGAAGGGAGUGUCCUGGAGGGUGACUGACGCUGAGGCGCGAAAGCUAGGGGAGCGAACAGG
This 253-nucleotide ribosomal RNA is filed under the name uncultured bacterium. Its description in RNAcentral is "partial 16S ribosomal RNA". It matches the Rfam family "Bacterial small subunit ribosomal RNA", at positions 524 to 776 of the family's 1533-position model. The record is from RNAcentral.